UACGUAGGGUGCAAGCGUUAAUCGGAAUUACUGGGCGUAAAGCGUGCGCAGGCGGUUUUGUAAGUCUGUCGUGAAAGCCCCGGGCUCAACCUGGGAAUUGCGAUGGAGACUGCAAGGCUAGAGUGUGUCAGAGGGGGGUAGAAUUCCACGUGUAGCAGUGAAAUGCGUAGAUAUGUGGAGGAACACCGAUGGCGAAGGCAGCCCCCUGGGAUAACACUGACGCUCAUGCACGAAAGCGUGGGGAGCAAACAGG
RNAcentral lists this ribosomal RNA (253 nucleotides) under uncultured bacterium. RNAcentral's name for it is "partial 16S ribosomal RNA". It matches the Rfam family "Bacterial small subunit ribosomal RNA", at positions 524 to 776 of the family's 1533-position model. The record is from RNAcentral.